Molecule: ribosomal RNA, 460 nt
Filed under: uncultured bacterium
Lineage: Bacteria
Description: partial 16S ribosomal RNA
Rfam family: Bacterial small subunit ribosomal RNA
Source: RNAcentral
GACGAACGCUGGCGGCGUGCUUAACACAUGCAAGUCGAGCGGUAAGGCCUCUUCGGGGGUACACGAGCGGCGAACGGGUGAGUAACACGUGGGUGACCUGCCCUCAGCUCUGGGAUAAGCCUGGGAAACUGGGUCCAAUACCGGAUAUGACCUUUCCUCGCAUGGGGUUUGGUGGAAAGUUUUUUCGGCUGGGGGUGGGCCCGCGGCCUAUCUGCUUGUUGGUGGGGUGAUGGCCCACCAAGGCGGCGACGGGUCGCCAGGCUGCGAGGGCGACCGGCCGCACUGGGACGGAGGCACGACCCGGGCUCCUCCGGGAGGCGGCAGUGGGGAAUAUUGCGCACUGGGCGGGAGCCUGACGCAGCGACGCCGCGUGGGGGAUGACUGCCUUCGGGUUGUAAACCUCUUUCGACCCCGACGAAUUUGGACGGUAGGGGUAGAAGAAGCACCGGCCAACUACGUG